This 403-nucleotide ribosomal RNA is filed under the name uncultured bacterium. RNAcentral's name for it is "bacterial SSU rRNA". It matches the Rfam family "Bacterial small subunit ribosomal RNA", at positions 976 to 1380 of the family's 1533-position model. The record is from RNAcentral.
AAGGCUUGACAUAUACAGGAAAAGCGUAGAAAUACGCUCCCCGCAAGGUCUGUAUACAGGUGGUGCAUGGUUGUCGUCAGCUCGUGUCGUGAGAUGUUGGGUUAAGUCCCGCAACGAGCGCAACCCUCGUCCUAUGUUGCCAGCACGUAAUGGUGGGAACUCAUGGGAGACUGCCGGGGUCAACUCGGAGGAAGGUGGGGAUGACGUCAAAUCAUCAUGCCCCUUAUGUCUUGGGCUUCACGCAUGCUACAAUGGCCAGUACAAAGGGCUGCGAUACCGCAAGGUGGAGCGAAUCCCAUAAAGCUGGUCUCAGUUCGGAUUGAGGUCUGCAACUCGACCUCAUGAAGUCGGAGUCGCUAGUAAUCGUAGAUCAGCAACGCUACGGUGAAUACGUUCCCGGGCC